Molecule: ribosomal RNA, 1553 nt
Filed under: Escherichia coli
Lineage: Bacteria; Pseudomonadati; Pseudomonadota; Gammaproteobacteria; Enterobacterales; Enterobacteriaceae
Description: partial 23S ribosomal RNA
Rfam family: Bacterial large subunit ribosomal RNA
Source: RNAcentral
UAUAUUCUGUAGCAAGGUUAACCGAAUAGGGGAGCCGAAGGGAAACCGAGUCUUAACUGGGCGUUAAGUUGCAGGGUAUAGACCCGAAACCCGGUGAUCUAGCCAUGGGCAGGUUGAAGGUUGGGUAACACUAACUGGAGGACCGAACCGACUAAUGUUGAAAAAUUAGCGGAUGACUUGUGGCUGGGGGUGAAAGGCCAAUCAAACCGGGAGAUAGCUGGUUCUCCCCGAAAGCUAUUUAGGUAGCGCCUCGUGAAUUCAUCUCCGGGGGUAGAGCACUGUUUCGGCAAGGGGGUCAUCCCGACUUACCAACCCGAUGCAAACUGCGAAUACCGGAGAAUGUUAUCACGGGAGACACACGGCGGGUGCUAACGUCCGUCGUGAAGAGGGAAACAACCCAGACCGCCAGCUAAGGUCCCAAAGUCAUGGUUAAGUGGGAAACGAUGUGGGAAGGCCCAGACAGCCAGGAUGUUGGCUUAGAAGCAGCCAUCAUUUAAAGAAAGCGUAAUAGCUCACUGGUCGAGUCGGCCUGCGCGGAAGAUGUAACGGGGCUAAACCAUGCACCGAAGCUGCGGCAGCGACGCUGAUGCGUUGUUGGGUAGGGGAGCGUUCUGUAAGCCUGUGAAGGUGUGCUGUGAGGCAUGCUGGAGGUAUCAGAAGUGCGAAUGCUGACAUAAGUAACGAUAAAGCGGGUGAAAAGCCCGCUCGCCGGAAGACCAAGGGUUCCUGUCCAACGUUAAUCGGGGCAGGGUGAGUCGACCCCUAAGGCGAGGCCGAAAGGCGUAGUCGAUGGGAAACAGGUUAAUAUUCCUGUACUUGGUGUUACUGCGAAGGGGGGACGGAGAAGGCUAUGUUGGCCGGGCGACGGUUGUCCCGGUUUAAGCGUGUAGGCUGGUUUUCCAGGCAAAUCCGGAAAAUCAAGGCUGAGGCGUGAUGACGAGGCACUACGGUGCUGAAGCAACAAAUGCCCUGCUUCCAGGAAAAGCCUCUAAGCAUCAGGUAACAUCAAAUCGUACCCCAAACCGACACAGGUGGUCAGGUAGAGAAUACCAAGGCGCUUGAGAGAACUCGGGUGAAGGAACUAGGCAAAAUGGUGCCGUAACUUCGGGAGAAGGCACGCUGAUAUGUAGGUGAAGCGACUUGCUCGUGGAGCUGAAAUCAGUCGAAGAUACCAGCUGGCUGCAACUGUUUAUUAAAAACACAGCACUGUGCAAACACGAAAGUGGACGUAUACGGUGUGACGCCUGCCCGGUGCCGGAAGGUUAAUUGAUGGGGUCAGCGCAAGCGAAGCUCUUGAUCGAAGCCCCGGUAAACGGCGGCCGUAACUAUAACGGUCCUAAGGUAGCGAAAUUCCUUGUCGGGUAAGUUCCGACCUGCACGAAUGGCGUAAUGAUGGCCAGGCUGUCUCCACCCGAGACUCAGUGAAAUUGAACUCGCUGUGAAGAUGCAGUGUACCCGCGGCAAGACGGAAAGACCCCGUGAACCUUUACUAUAGCUUGACACUGAACAUUGAGCCUUGAUGUGUAGGAUAGGUGGGAGGCUUUGAAGUGUGG